GGUGAACGCUGGCGGCGCGCCUAACACAUGCAAGUCGAACGGUUAAAGCACCUUUUAGGUGUGUAUAAAGUGGCGAACGGCUGAGUAACACGUGGGCAACCUGCCCUCCUCUUGGGGAUAGCCUCGGGAAACCGAGGAUAAUACCCGAUACUUCAAUGUGGCCGCAUGACGACAUUGAGAAAGCUUUUGCGGAGAAGGAUGGGCCCGCGGCCUGUUAGCUUGUUGGUGGGGUAGAGGCCUACCAAGGCAAUGAUGGGUAGCUGGGUUGAGAGACCGACCAGCCAGAUUGGGACUGAGACACGGCCCAGACUCCUACGGGAGGCAGCAGUGGGGAAUCUUGCACAAGGGGCGAAAGCCUGAUGCAGCGACGCCGCGUGCGGGACGAAGGCCUUCGGGUUGUAAACCGCUUUCAGCAGGGACGAGGCGAUAAGUGACGGUACCUGCAGAAGAAGCCCCGGCUAACUACGUG
Molecule: ribosomal RNA, 469 nt
Filed under: uncultured bacterium
Lineage: Bacteria
Description: partial 16S ribosomal RNA
Rfam family: Bacterial small subunit ribosomal RNA
Source: RNAcentral